Long non-coding RNA from Alligator sinensis (Chinese alligator), 597 nucleotides. RefSeq lists it as uncharacterized. The record is from RefSeq and is a predicted model, not a curated record. Lineage: Eukaryota; Metazoa; Chordata; Crocodylia; Alligatoridae. The transcript has 2 exons.
CAUCCCUGCAGGCUGGGGCUGGGGGUGCUGCUUGUGUACGGGGGUCUUUGCAAGCUGGAGCUGCAGGGCAGGGCGAUUCCCCCGCAGCCCUGCUCCAGCCUGAUGCUGUCGGUGCAGGGGACCUGGGGAGACUCCAGCCCCUGCACGGCGGGAGCGCCUCCGUUACUGCUGGAGCCAAGGCUGGCUGCAUAUCCGUGACCCACAUCUUCCCCCUUGCCAACCACGCGCUGACAGUCUCCUGAAAGCUGUGCAAAUGCAUGUGACCUGCGACUACUUUCGGGCUCCUCGGGCAACCGUCCCCUCCUCGUACUGAUGCACGGUCCUGGUACCACCGCAGUGGUUCCAGCUGUGGGCAGCCUGCGAGCUGCAUGUCUCUGCAGUGAUUUUUGUUUUGUCCUCCCCGUCAGCAGCUGAAACCCCAGACAGCUGUCGGUGCCCAUUUGUUCUCCCAGCCCAGCCUGGCUGUGCCCUAGCAAAGCUGGGGGGAGUUAUCCAUGGGGCAUCUCCCUUCCUCCAGGAGAUGCCCCUGGCACACGGCAGUCGCCAGGUCCCCCUUUCUGCCGGCCACGGCCUCCCUGCGUGUUGCGGAGCUGCUUA